AUUGAACGCUGGCGGCAGGCCUAACACAUGCAAGUCGAGCGGAUGAAGGGAGCUUGCUCCUGGAUUCAGCGGCGGACGGGUGAGUAAUGCCUAGGAAUCUGCCUGGUAGUGGGGGAUAACGUCCGGAAACGGGCGCUAAUACCGCAUACGUCCUGAGGGAGAAAGUGGGGGAUCUUCGGACCUCACGCUAUCAGAUGAGCCUAGGUCGGAUUAGCUAGUUGGUGGGGUAAAGGCCUACCAAGGCGACGAUCCGUAACUGGUCUGAGAGGAUGAUCAGUCACACUGAACUGAGACACGGUCCAGACUCCUGCGGGAGGCAGCAGUGGGGAAUAUUGGACAAUGGGCGAAAGCCUGAUCCAGCCAUGCCGCGUGUGUGAAGAAGGUCUUCGGAUUGUAAAGCACUUUAAGUUGGGAGGAAGGGCAGUAAGUUAAUACCUUGCUGUUUUGACGUUACCAACAGAAUAAGCACCGGCUAACUUCGUG
RNAcentral lists this ribosomal RNA (483 nucleotides) under uncultured bacterium. RNAcentral's name for it is "partial 16S ribosomal RNA". It matches the Rfam family "Bacterial small subunit ribosomal RNA", at positions 30 to 507 of the family's 1533-position model. The record is from RNAcentral.